Molecule: ribosomal RNA, 473 nt
Filed under: uncultured bacterium
Lineage: Bacteria
Description: bacterial SSU rRNA
Rfam family: Bacterial small subunit ribosomal RNA
Source: RNAcentral
UCCGCAAUGGGCGCAAGCCUGACGGGGCGACGCCGCGUGAACGAUGAAGGCCUUCGGGUUGUAAAGUUCUGUCACGGGGGAAGAACAACUACGGGUUAACAGCCCUGUAGUCUGACGUUACCCCGGAAGGAAGCCAUGGCUAACUCCGUGCCAGCAGCCGCGGUAAUACGGAGAUGGCAAGCGUUGCUCGGAUUUACUGGGCAUAAAGCGCACGUAGGCGGGCCUACAAGUCGGUUGUGAAAUCCUGGGGCUUAACCCCAGAACUGCGGCCGAUACUAUAGGCCUUGAGGGUGAGAGGGGAGAGUGGAACCUCUGGUGGAGCGGUGAAAUGCGUAGAUCUCAGAAGGAACACCGGUGGCGAAAGCGACUCUCUGGUUCACUACUGACGCUGAGGUGCGAAAGCUAGGGGAGCAAACGGGAUUAGAUACCCCGGUAGUCCUAGCCGUAAACGAUGGGCACUAAGUAGAGGGGUU